This 214-nucleotide unclassified non-coding RNA is filed under the name uncultured fungus. RNAcentral's name for it is "sequence contains ITS1". Lineage: Eukaryota; Fungi. The record is from RNAcentral.
GUUUUAUAAUGCGUUAUACGCUGAUUACAUUCUGAGACUACAAGUGUAUGUGUAAAACAUAGGAAGAGCGACCAGAACAAGUCCAGCCACUCGACCUACAAUAGGUGCACAGGUGUAAGGUUGGAUUGAGUAGAGAGCGUGCACAUGCCUUGCGGCCAGCUACAACUCUCCUGUUUACUCGUUAAUGAUCCUUCCGCAGGUUCACCUACGGAAA